UACACUCCUGCGGGAGGCAGCAGUGGGGAAUAUUGGACAAUGGGCGCAAGCCUGAUCCAGCCAUGCCGCGUGAGUGAUGAAGGCCCUAGGGUUGUAAAGCUCUUUCACCGGAGAAGAUAAUGACGGUAUCCGGAGAAGAAGCCCCGGCUAACUUCGUGCCAGCAGCCGCGGUAAUACGAAGGGGGCUAGCGUUGUUCGGAAUUACUGGGCGUAAAGCGCACGUAGGCGGAUCGAUCAGUCAGGGGUGAAAUCCCAGGGCUCAACCCUGGAACUGCCUUUGAUACUGUCGAUCUGGAGUAUGGAAGAGGUGAGUGGAAUUCCGAGUGUAGAGGUGAAAUUCGUAGAUAUUCGGAGGAACACCAGUGGCGAAGGCGGCUCACUGGUCCAUUACUGACGCUGAGGUGCGAAAGCGUGGGGAGCAAACAGGAUUAGAAACCCGGGUAGUCCCAUG
Molecule: ribosomal RNA, 451 nt
Filed under: uncultured organism
Description: partial 16S ribosomal RNA
Rfam family: Bacterial small subunit ribosomal RNA
Source: RNAcentral